GGUGCCUGCUCUCCCUUCCACCGUAAUUGUGAGUUUCCUGAAGCCUUUUCAUCCAUGCGCAACUUGAAAAGCUGAAGUGAUGUAAGGAGAAUAAUAAAGAACUCAGAAGACAAUUAUACAGCUGACGUCAACGCUGAGCACUGCUUCUCCUAUCAAUGAUUUCCAACUGCUUUGUGAGUUCCAGGGAUCUGGUCAACCCUUCCAGCCUCCUUCACUGGAUGAGGAUGAGAACGCGUAACAGGACUGUAGGUUUCUGGGCUGUACUCCACACAGUUCAGUCUAGCAAGAUUCUGAAUAUAAUUUUGUUUGAAGGAAAAUUUGAACCCCACCUCCCCAAAAGUGUAAUGUUUUAUCUUCUACAGAUCUGGCAUAGCCAGUGGCAAAUGGAAUUGGUCCCUAUCUCUGUGACUCUGUAAAUAAAUGCCAUUUUUAUUCCA
Symphalangus syndactylus (siamang) is the source of this 437-nucleotide long non-coding RNA. RefSeq lists it as uncharacterized. NCBI's taxonomy places the organism in Eukaryota, Metazoa, Chordata, Mammalia, Primates, Hylobatidae. The record is from RefSeq and is a predicted model, not a curated record.